RNAcentral lists this non-coding RNA (32 nucleotides) under Syntrophotalea carbinolica DSM 2380. The record is from RNAcentral. Lineage: Bacteria; Pseudomonadati; Thermodesulfobacteriota; Desulfuromonadia; Desulfuromonadales; Syntrophotaleaceae.
GGAGGUAAUGUCGAUGCCCUGCGAAAAGUCGC